GCAGCGGUGGUUCACUGGUAGAAUUCUCACCUUCUAUGAGGGAAACCUGGGUUUGAUUCCUGGCCUAUGCA
RNAcentral lists this transfer RNA (71 nucleotides) under Loxodonta africana (African savanna elephant). It matches the Rfam family "tRNA". Rfam says of the family: Transfer RNA (tRNA) molecules are approximately 80 nucleotides in length. Their secondary structure includes four short double-helical elements and three loops (D, anti-codon, and T loops). The record is from Rfam by way of RNAcentral. Lineage: Eukaryota; Metazoa; Chordata; Mammalia; Proboscidea; Elephantidae.